RNAcentral lists this ribosomal RNA (253 nucleotides) under uncultured bacterium. RNAcentral's name for it is "partial 16S ribosomal RNA". It matches the Rfam family "Bacterial small subunit ribosomal RNA", at positions 524 to 776 of the family's 1533-position model. The record is from RNAcentral.
UACGUAGGGUGCAAGCGUUAAUCGGAAUUACUGGGCGUAAAGCGUGCGCAGGCGGUUAUGUAAGACAGGGGUGAAAUCCCAGGGCUUAACCUUGGAACUGCAUUUGUGACUGCAUAGCUAGAGUACGGUAGAGGGGGAUGGAAUUCCGCGUGUAGCAGUGAAAUGCGUAGAUAUGCGGAGGAACACCAGUGGCGAAGGCGGCCACCUGGACCGUCCCUGACGCUCAAACACGAAAGCUAGGGUAGCGAACGGG